RNAcentral lists this transfer RNA (70 nucleotides) under Pyxicephalus adspersus. RNAcentral describes it as "tRNA-Thr". It matches the Rfam family "tRNA". From Rfam's summary of the family: Transfer RNA (tRNA) molecules are approximately 80 nucleotides in length. Their secondary structure includes four short double-helical elements and three loops (D, anti-codon, and T loops). Lineage: Eukaryota; Metazoa; Chordata; Amphibia; Anura; Pyxicephalidae. The record is from RNAcentral.
GCCCCGAUAGCUUAUGCUAAAGCACUGGUCUUGUAAAUCAGAGACUGUAGACUGACCUCUACUCAGGGCU